Molecule: ribosomal RNA, 322 nt
Filed under: uncultured Sandonidae
Lineage: Eukaryota; Cercozoa; Glissomonadida; Viridiraptoridae
Description: SSU rRNA
Rfam family: Eukaryotic small subunit ribosomal RNA
Source: RNAcentral
GAUUUCUGGCUUGAAACAUUUUGCCGGCCACGGUUUCGUGUGUUGGUGCUUGAUGUUCUGGCCAUCCUUCCAAUCGCUAUUCACCUUUCUUCAUUGAUUGGUGAGUGGUAUUGGAUCUUUUACUUUGAAAAAAUUAGAGUGCUUCAAGCAGGCUUUAUGCUAUGAAUACAUUAGCAUGGAAUAAUAAUUUAGGACUUCGGUUCUAUUUUGUUGGUUUCUAGGACUGAAGUAAUGAUUGAUAGGGACAGUUGGGGGUGCUAGUAUUCAGCGGCCAGAGGUGAAAUUCUCGGAUUCGCUGAAGACUAACUUAUGCGAAAGCAUU